RNAcentral lists this ribosomal RNA (253 nucleotides) under uncultured bacterium. Its description in RNAcentral is "partial 16S ribosomal RNA". It matches the Rfam family "Bacterial small subunit ribosomal RNA", at positions 524 to 776 of the family's 1533-position model. The record is from RNAcentral.
UACAGAGGUCCCGAGCGUUGUUCGGAUUCACUGGGCGUAAAGCGUGCGCAGGCGGUUUUGUAAGCCAGAUGUGAAAGCCCCGGGCUUAACCUGGGAAUGGCAUUUGGGACUGCAAGGCUUGAGUGCGGCAGAGGAGACUGGAAUUCCUGGUGUAGCAGUGAAAUGCGUAGAUAUCAGGAGGAAUACCGAUGGCGAAGGCAGGUCUCUGGGCUGACACUGACGCUCAUGCACGAAAGCGUGGGGAGCAAACAGG